CGUAGGUGGCGAGCGUUGUCCGGAAUUACUGGGUGUAAAGGGCGUGUAGGCGGGAAUGCAAGUCAGAUGUGAAAUGCCGAGGCUUAACCUCGGAGCUGCAUCUGAAACUGUGUUUCUUGAGUGUCGGAGAGGAAAGUGGAAUUCCCAGUGUAGCGGUGAAAUGCGUAGAUAUUGGGAGGAACACCAGUGGCGAAGGCGACUUUCUGGACGAUAACUGACGCUGAGGCGCGAAAGCGUGGGGAGCAAACAGGAUUAGAUACCCUGGUAGUCCACGCCGUAAACGAUGGAUACUAGGUGUAGGGGGGUAUCGACCCCCCCUGUGCCGCAGUUAACACAAUAAGUAUCCCACCUGGGGAGUACGGCCGCAAGGUUG
This 373-nucleotide ribosomal RNA is filed under the name uncultured organism. Its description in RNAcentral is "bacterial SSU rRNA". It matches the Rfam family "Bacterial small subunit ribosomal RNA", at positions 526 to 896 of the family's 1533-position model. The record is from RNAcentral.